Sinocyclocheilus rhinocerous is the source of this 344-nucleotide long non-coding RNA. RefSeq lists it as uncharacterized. The transcript has 2 exons. Lineage: Eukaryota; Metazoa; Chordata; Actinopteri; Cypriniformes; Cyprinidae. The record is from RefSeq and is a predicted model, not a curated record.
UUCCCUGUUGUGUUUGUAUAACAGAAAAGCCAGGAGUGUGUCCAAGGAGAUUCCUUGGAGUAGGUUUGUGUAAAAAGUUGUGUGUCAAUGACAUUGACUGUCCAAAUGAUGAGAAAUGCUGCAGCACUAAAUGUGGACGUGAAUGUACACCUCCAUUUAAAGUGAGGCCUGAUCCAUGUCUCAAACCAAAUGUGUGCUGAUAACUCUUCCCAUGAUGAUCAGUAUCCUGCCAGACAGAAGUGUUGCCCAACCACCUGUGCAUGCAUGCAGCUAACCAUGCCAGUUUAACCAUUGGGAACUUUAUUUGAGGUCUAUGUUCACCAAAUAAAUCUUGUUUAGCAAGA